AGCGAAUAGAUACCCAGGUAGUCCACGCUGUAAACGAUGGAUACUAGGUGUAACCGGUCUCGACCCCGGUUGUGCCGCAGCUAAACGCAUUAAGUAUCCCGCCUGGGGAGUAUGGCCGCAAGGUUGAAACUCAAAGGAAUUGACGGGGGCCCGCACAAGCGGUGGAGGAUGUGGUUUAAAUUCGACGCAACGCGAAGAACCUUACCAAGGCUUGACAUCCACAGAACCUGCUAGAAAUAGUGGGGUGUCCGAAAGGAAACUGUGAGACAGGUGGUGCAUGGCUGUCGUCAGCUCGUGUCGUGAGAUGUUGGGUUAAGUCCCGCAACGAGCGCAACCCUCGAUGUUAGUUACCAUCAUUAAGUUGGGGACUCUAACGUGACUGCCGGUGAUAAGCCGGAGGAAGGUGAGGACGACGUCAAGUCAUCAUGCCCC
RNAcentral lists this ribosomal RNA (432 nucleotides) under uncultured bacterium. RNAcentral describes it as "bacterial SSU rRNA". It matches the Rfam family "Bacterial small subunit ribosomal RNA", at positions 771 to 1201 of the family's 1533-position model. The record is from RNAcentral.